AUUGAACGCUGGCGGCAGGCCUAACACAUGCAAGUCGAGCGGCAGCGGAAAGUAGCUUGCUACUUUGCCGGCGAGCGGCGGGCGGGUGAGUAAUGUCUGGGAAACUGCCUGAUGGAGGGGGAUAACUACUGGAAACGGUAGCUAAUACCGCAUAACGUCGCAAGACCAAAGAGGGGGACCUUCGGGCCUCUUGCCAUCAGAUGUGCCCAGAUGGGAUUAGCUAGUAGGUGGGGUAACGGCUCACCUAGGCGACGAUCCCUAGCUGGUCUGAGAGGAUGACCAGCCACACUGGAACUGAGACACGGUCCAGACUCCUACGGGAGGCAGCAGUGGGGAAUAUUGCACAAUGGGCGCAAGCCUGAUGCAGCCAUGCCGCGUGUAUGAAGAAGGCCUUCGGGUUGUAAAGUACUUUCAGCGGGGAGGAAGGUGUUGUGGUUAAUAACCACAGCAAUUGACGUUACCCGCAGAAGAAGCACCGGCUAACUCCGUGCCAGCAGCCGCCGCAG
This 506-nucleotide ribosomal RNA is filed under the name uncultured bacterium. RNAcentral describes it as "partial 16S ribosomal RNA". It matches the Rfam family "Bacterial small subunit ribosomal RNA", at positions 30 to 523 of the family's 1533-position model. The record is from RNAcentral.